RNAcentral lists this ribosomal RNA (472 nucleotides) under uncultured bacterium. RNAcentral describes it as "SSU rRNA". It matches the Rfam family "Bacterial small subunit ribosomal RNA", at positions 26 to 518 of the family's 1533-position model. The record is from RNAcentral.
AGGACGAACGCUGGCGGCGUGCUUAACACAUGCAAGUCGAGCGGAAAGGCCCUUCGGGGUACUCGAGCGGCGAACGGGUGAGUAACACGUGAGUAAUCUGCCCUUAGCUCUGGGAUAGCUCCGGGAAACCGGGAUUAAUACCAGAUACAACCACUUUAGACAUCUGUUGUGGUGGAAAGAAUUUUGGCUAAGGAUGAGCUCGCGGCCUAUCAGCUUGUUGGUGGGGUAAUGGCCUACCAAGGCGACGACGGGUAGCCGGCCUGAGAGGGCGACCGGCCACACUGGGACUGAGACACGGCCCAGACUCCUACGGGAGGCAGCAGUGGGGAAUAUUGCGCAAUGGGCGAAAGCCUGACGCAGCGACGCCGCGUGGGGGAUGAAGGCCUUCGGUUGUAAACCCCUUUCAGCAGGACGAAGCGAAAGUGACGGUACCUGCAGAAGAAGCGCCGGCUAACUACGUGCCAGCAGCCGC